GAGUGAUCGAAAGAUGAAAAGCACCUUGAAAAGAGGGUUAAAUAGUACGUGAAAUUGUUGAAAGGGAAGCGCUUGUGACCAGACUUGGGCGCGGCGGAUCAUCCGGGGUUCUCCCCGGUGCACUUCGCCGUGUCCAGGCCAGCAUCAGUUCGUCGCGGGGGAAAAAGGCUUCGGGAACGUGGCUCCCCUGGGAGUGUUAUAGCCCGUUGCAUAAUACCCUGCGGUGGACUGAGGACCGCGCAUCUGCAAGGAUGCUGGCGUAAUGGUCACCAGCGACCC
This 279-nucleotide ribosomal RNA is filed under the name Trichoderma sp. Tea8. RNAcentral describes it as "partial 28S ribosomal RNA". It matches the Rfam family "Eukaryotic large subunit ribosomal RNA", at positions 351 to 650 of the family's 3401-position model. Lineage: Eukaryota; Fungi; Ascomycota; Sordariomycetes; Hypocreales; Hypocreaceae. The record is from RNAcentral.